CAGCGCCACGGUAAUACGAAGGGUGCAAGCGUUAAUCGGAAUUACUGGGCGUAAAGCGUGCGCAGGCGGUUGUGUAAGACAGGUGUGAAAUCCCCGGGCUUAACCUGGGAACUGCGCUUGUGACUGCACAGCUAGAGUAUGGCAGAGGGGGGUGGAAUUCCACGUGUAGCAGUGAAAUGCGUAGAGAUGUGGAGGAACACCGAUGGCGAAGGCAGCCCCCUGGGCCAAUACUGACGCUCAUGCACGAAAGCGUGGGGAGCAAACAGGAUUAGAUACCCGCGUAGUCCCUGUCUCUUAUACA
RNAcentral lists this ribosomal RNA (301 nucleotides) under uncultured bacterium. RNAcentral describes it as "partial 16S ribosomal RNA". It matches the Rfam family "Bacterial small subunit ribosomal RNA", at positions 509 to 808 of the family's 1533-position model. The record is from RNAcentral.